RNAcentral lists this ribosomal RNA (163 nucleotides) under uncultured bacterium. RNAcentral's name for it is "partial 16S rRNA". It matches the Rfam family "Bacterial small subunit ribosomal RNA", at positions 355 to 510 of the family's 1533-position model. The record is from RNAcentral.
UAGGGAAUCUUCCACAAUGGGCGCAAGCCUGAUGGAGCAACACCGCGUGAGUGAAGAAGGGUUUCGGCUCGUAAAGCUCUGUUGUUAAAGAAGAACACGUAUGAGAGUAACUGUUCAUACGUUGACGGUAUUUAACCAGAAAGUCACGGCUAACUACGUCGCG